GCACUGCUGAGGAGUCCCAUUCUGGGACGAGACGGCCGUCCAGUGC
Molecule: non-coding RNA, 46 nt
Organism: Schistosoma margrebowiei
Lineage: Eukaryota; Metazoa; Platyhelminthes; Trematoda; Strigeidida; Schistosomatidae
Source: Rfam